Molecule: long non-coding RNA, 930 nt
Organism: Nerophis ophidion (straightnose pipefish)
Lineage: Eukaryota; Metazoa; Chordata; Actinopteri; Syngnathiformes; Syngnathidae
Exons: 4
Source: RefSeq, a predicted model, not a curated record
AGAGUAUUAAUUCAAAGAAGAGUAGUGGGCGUGGUCACCGUGCUUUUAUAGGAGCAAGUAAGUGGUUUUGAGAAAAGUAUUUUUUUCAUAUAAGUAACUGUUUAAUCUGAAAUGUUGUUGAAAUUAAGGUUAACAUGUUCAAAGAAUUUGUAGAAACGGAACAUUUAGUCCUUGGAGUGGGUGCGAAUAGUUGAAGGAGACGACCUGCUAAUUUAAUUGCUAGCAUAAUGUUUGUGUUUUUACCGGGGAAAAUAAGUGGACAGUUUUAACUCGACCGAAAACACCAAGUUCGAGAAAGUUUGUAUUUUACGUUUUUAUUCCCGCUUUCGCACCACGGUGGAGUUUCUGGGGCCGAAGAGUGCGAUCAACAGUGUGCGGCACUCGGUGGAAGAAGUUUGGACACCCCUGAUGUUUUCUGCAGUACAAUAAUGGAAUUCACAGGCAUCACUCUUUUGGAACAGCUUCCAUCCGACAAAACGUUUAUGGGUUGAUGGCGAGGGAAAUCUACAACAAAACAGCAUCUUGGAGCCCGUUUAAAAGCCCCGCAGACGCCCCCACGGACACCGACGUGGUGGUACUGUCGCGGGUGGUACCGCACUGGGGAAAGUGCGGCACACGGGCCACUCUGCGGCCAGUCGCGGGGGCCCAAAGGCCUGGCGGGAUUUUGCCACACAGGCUGAGGAUUCUUUUCUGCCCAUCGUCUGUCUUUGUAGCAAUAGAACUGAUCCUGCAGCCAUGUGUGGACCUGUCAGCUUGCACGUGCUUCUGACAAGUGCAAAAUAAAAUGUAAAAUAGUUUUUGCAAAACAGCGAUGAGUGUUGAUAUUUACAUAGCGCGUGCUAAAUAAUUAUAUUUGCAUGUUCUCCCAUAUUGUGGACGUUUUGAUGAUCAGCAUAUAUUUUUGGAAUAUUAAUAAAGACAGACACUGAA